AGGUACGAAUAGUGAGAUUAUGGCACAUUCCAGACCGUGACAAACCAGACAACACCGUCUCCCUUGAAUUAAUUAUUCAAGACGAAAAGGGAGAUCAUAUUCAUGCGACUGUUGGUCGGUCUCUUAUACGUAUGUUCAAACCAAAGAUAAAAGAAUUGGGUUUGUACUUUAUGAAGAACUUUGUGGUUGGACCAAAUUAUACGAAACUUAAAUACACGCGGCAUAAAUUAAAGUUGGCAUUUACUCAUAAGACGAUUGUAGAGGAAGCAAAUGAUCAUCUUUUUGGUAUGGGUAUCUUCAACUUAAAACCUUAUGAGUAUUUAAUAAACAAAAUUGAUGUUGAAGAAAGUGAACUCUUCGAUGUCAUUGAAGAGGUUGUAAGUUAUGGUGAAGUAGAAUCACAUAACUAAGGUGAUAAGACCAACACUUAUAUGAAUGUGGAACUUGAAGAUCAUGAGUAAGAUUGCGUCUAUGAAUUUACUUUGUUAUAUAUUUUAACAUGAUUACUUAUCGGUGUCUGAUUAAGUUGUUAUAUAUUAACAUGAUUACUUAUCGGUGUCUGAUUAAGUUGUUAUAUAAAUUACACAAGAAGAAUAAUAUCUCGGCAACAUUUUGGGGAGAAUUCGUUGACCAAAUCUUGCUACAUUUAGAGGGAUCACCCCAUGAGCCGGUCAUAGUUGUUAUGCAGUUGAUAAAAGCUCACAAAUUUCAAGGCAAAUAUUCUGUGCGUAAUACUUGGCAUGCCUCAAAGCUCUAGAUUAACUCGGAUCUUCCUCAAAUUGUUGAUUUUAAGUUCAGAUUGGCAAGUGUGAAUGAAGCUAACUCUUCCAGGAUUAGUCAAAUACCUUAUCACCGUAGUUAUUCUGUUUCUGAUGAGUUAGCUACUGGAACUGUAGAAGUUAAAACUAUUAGAGAAUUGAUCGACUGCAUGAAGGAAGGACACAUUUGGAUUGUUGCGACUAUAGUGAAUCUUCUACUUGAAAAAGAAUGGUCAUAUUUGGGAUGCAAGAGAUGCUCGAAGAAGGUUGACAAAAUUGGAAGUAAAUUUCACUGCAAGAAAUGUGAUCGCCUUGGUGCAAGCUUCGAGUGCAAGUAAUGGAUCACACUGACUUUAUAUCUUUGUUGCUUUGGGAUCGUGAAGCAACAAGUCUCAUUGGGAAGUUUGCUAAUGAGUUAAAUGAAAUUUCAAUUGAGAUUCGACGCGCAUGGAGGCCGAUUCGAGGGGC
Molecule: non-coding RNA, 1226 nt
Organism: Nicotiana tabacum (common tobacco)
Lineage: Eukaryota; Viridiplantae; Streptophyta; Magnoliopsida; Solanales; Solanaceae
Source: RefSeq, a predicted model, not a curated record